RNAcentral lists this unclassified non-coding RNA (300 nucleotides) under uncultured fungus. RNAcentral describes it as "sequence contains 5.8S rRNA gene, ITS2". The stretch from base 1 to 71 matches the Rfam family "5.8S ribosomal RNA", at positions 84 to 154 of the family's 154-position model. Lineage: Eukaryota; Fungi. The record is from RNAcentral.
GUGAGUCAUCGAAUCUUUGAACGCACAUUGCGCUCCCUGGUAUUCCGGAGAGCACGCCCGUUCCAGAAUCAGUAAAACUCUCACCCAGGUUUGGAUGUCUUCGGACCCCGAGCAAGGGUGGACCAUGGAUUUUUGUGUUUUUGCAAUCAUCUUAAAUUAAAUGUGUGUACACCAAAGUUCAGUCUUUCGGUUGUCAAAGUGCAACAGAUUUUUGUCGCCGCUUGGACAGUCGAUUGGACGGCUUUGAUGGACAUGCUUCACAUUCACCGCACGGCUUCCGAAUCGCAAUGAUUUGGGAUC